UACGUAGGGCGCAAGCGUUGUCCGGAAUUGUGGGGCGUAAAGAGCUCGUAGGCGGUUUGUCGCGUCUGCUGUGAAAACCUAAGGCUCAACCUUGGGCUUGCAGUGGGUACGGGCAGACUAGAGUGCGGUAGGGGUGACUGGAAUUCCUGGUGUAGCGGUGAAAUGCGCAGAUACUCAGGAGGAACACCGGUGGCGAAGGCGGGUCUCUGGGCCGGUACUGACGCUGGAGACGCGAAAGCGUGGGAGCGAACAGG
This 254-nucleotide ribosomal RNA is filed under the name uncultured bacterium. RNAcentral's name for it is "partial 16S ribosomal RNA". It matches the Rfam family "Bacterial small subunit ribosomal RNA", at positions 524 to 776 of the family's 1533-position model. The record is from RNAcentral.